This 69-nucleotide transfer RNA is filed under the name Bos taurus (domestic cattle). It matches the Rfam family "tRNA". Rfam says of the family: Transfer RNA (tRNA) molecules are approximately 80 nucleotides in length. Their secondary structure includes four short double-helical elements and three loops (D, anti-codon, and T loops). Lineage: Eukaryota; Metazoa; Chordata; Mammalia; Artiodactyla; Bovidae. RNAcentral also lists the same sequence under 1 other name. The record is from Rfam by way of RNAcentral.
CCUGGUGGCUCAGAUGGUAAAGCGUCUGCCUACAACGCGGGAGACCCGGGUUUGAUCCCCGGGUCAGGA